GGCAGAGGUCUGAAGACUUGAUGGACUGCCUUCAAGUCGAUCCUGACUUAUGGCUACCCUACGAAUAGGGUUUUCAUGGUGUCGGUUUCGCAGGUCCCACCUCGGAAGAAGCAGCCCAGGGUGGCAAAGUCGCCUUUGCCUACAGGUGGAAGGAAGAGGAACGUCAACCAGAGUGGCCGGACGCAGCAGAGGGCAAACUUCCUGCCCCCUUAAGUUUAGUUGCACUCAGAAUGUAUUCAGAGCCCUCCCACAACCCCCACAUCCUUUCAUUUGAGCUGUAUGUGGUUUGGACAAGGCUCUGGCUAUGGUCUGAAGGCACAUGAGGCCAGCUCCCUGCUGAAGCUAAGUAGGGUCAGGUGUGGUCAGUGCCUGGAUGGGAGACCGCGUGGGAACCAUAUGUAAGCUGCCUUGGGUUGCUAUCAUGAAAAGAAAGAAAGACCAAGAAGAGACCAGCAAAGAGAAGGCAGAAAACGUUCAUGGCGGUUGGCGUGGUUGACUGGGAUGUAGUCUACAAAGCCGAUGUACCAGACCAUGACUAGGGGCUUGUGGAUUUCACAGUCCUGCCCCGUCGCCAUUUGCCAAUCGCCAUGGGACUUUUGUUAUGGAAGACGCCUGUGCGUGAAUUUGUUUUAUGCGGGGAGAUCGGCGCACCACGAUCAAUACACAAUCUUGACAGAAAAAGGCUUUGAUCCAAUGGCAUGGGUACCAUGACGAUUGGAAGUCCUUUAUCUGCUGCAGCCUUCAUCCGCCUUCACAGCCGUUGUAACACACAUUGUUAUCCUCCGCCUGUUCUGCCGUUGAGGACUUUCUUGGAUCGUUCUUUGGUUCCUCUCCCUUGACCUUACGUUGCAUUAUCUGCCAGUACUUUAUGAUUUGACAUGGACUUUAAUGGGGCAAGAAAGCCUUAAGAACUUUUGAACUCCUGCUCAGAGCUUCACCAAACCAGUGCAGGCUGGUCUUCCUACACAAAGCUAUAGAAACUGCAUAUUAGAGCAAAAAAGACACCUUUGUCAGCCAGAGGCUCAAGCGCUUCUGCAAGAUUGUGCCAUCACCCUCCCUCCUCUUACAUCUGAAAAUCAAAGAGCCCUGUACAAAGUACAUGGCUUUUUGCACUCUGAAACAUAAAUAAAUGAGAAAUCAUGCUUUGCUCAGGACUAGCUUGCUCAGGAUUUCUUUAGGGUGCCAGCUGCUUCUUCGGGGAGUGGAGAAGCAGUUCCUAGCAUGGUUGACAAGUCUGGAGCAAAAAAGGCAUGACUGGGAAAAAUGUUUGAUGGCUGAGGAGAGCAUUGAUUCCUGGCUUGUUUGCUUGCUUUUGCUCUGGCUCCACUGAUACUAUUACAGGGACAGUUUGCUGUGCAAAAGAGAGUCCCAGUAGCACAGGGGGAUGCCAACUGUUUUGGGGCCUGUAGCCAUGUUUGCAAACCAGAGGAACUGCAGUGGGCACAACAUGCCACGCUGUAAGCUCCUUUUGCAACCAAAUCUGCUGCCUGCCAUAGAAUGCUUGAAAUACGAGCCUAAUUUCAACAGAAUUUUUAAAAUUAGCUUUGAAAGCAUCAGUUGUGUGAGUGAUACUUUUAUUAAUCUACUUCUAUGUGCGCUCUUCAAAUGUGUAUUCUCUUUCACUGAUGUCAAUGAAGUGUUGAUUGUAACUGACAGACAGAAAGCAGCUGGGGGGAUGAGAUGUUGAUUGUAAACAGAAGGGGGAAGACACUGACUUGAUUAUCUGCCUUAAUCUGCUCUGCAAUGCACUUGAAAAUGAAAAUGAAAUGGACUGCCUUCUGUAAACAGGCAAUAAU
Long non-coding RNA from Rhineura floridana, 1796 nucleotides. RefSeq lists it as uncharacterized. NCBI's taxonomy places the organism in Eukaryota, Metazoa, Chordata, Lepidosauria, Squamata, Rhineuridae. The record is from RefSeq and is a predicted model, not a curated record. The transcript has 5 exons.